UCCACAAUAGUUUGGUAACUGUAUAUGGGA
Molecule: non-coding RNA, 30 nt
Filed under: Mus musculus (house mouse)
Lineage: Eukaryota; Metazoa; Chordata; Mammalia; Rodentia; Muridae
Source: RNAcentral